RNAcentral lists this ribosomal RNA (468 nucleotides) under uncultured bacterium. RNAcentral describes it as "partial 16S ribosomal RNA". It matches the Rfam family "Bacterial small subunit ribosomal RNA", at positions 28 to 507 of the family's 1533-position model. The record is from RNAcentral.
GACGAACGCUGGCGGCGUGCUUAACACAUGCAAGUCGAACGGAAAGGCCCUUCUUUUGUGGGGUACUCUAGUGGCGAACGGGUUAGUAACACGUUAGUCACCUGCCCUUGACUUUGUGAUAACUUCAGGAAACUGGUGCUAAUACCUGAUAGGAGCUCCUGCUGCAUGGUGGGGGUUGGAAAUUUUCGGCGGUUGGGGAUGGACUCUCGGCUUAUCAGCUUGUUGGUGGGGUCGUGGCGUACCAAGGCUUUGACGGGUAGCCGGCCUGAGAGGGUGACCGGGCACAGUGGGACAGGGGUAGGACCAAGAGUGAUAAGGGAGGAAGCAGUGGGGAAUAGUGCAAGAUGGGCGGAAGCCUGAAGCAGCAACGCCGCGUGCGGGAUGACGGCCGUCGGGAUGUAAACCGCUUUAGCCUGUGACGAAGCGGGAGUGACGGUAAUGGGUAAAGAAGCACCGGCUAACUACGUG